UACGUAGGGCGCAAGCGUUAUCCGGAAUUAUUGGGCGUAAAGAGCGUGUAGGCGGCCAGGUAGGUCGGUUGUGAAAACUGGAGGCUCAACCUUCAGAGGUCGACCGAAACCAUCUGGCUAGAGUCCGGGAGAGGAGAGUGGAAUUCCUGGUGUAGCGGUGAAAUGCGCAGAUAUCAGGAAGAACACCCGUGGCGAAAGCGGCUCUCUGGAACGGUACUGACGCUGAGACGCGAAAGCGUGGGGAGCGAACAGG
Molecule: ribosomal RNA, 253 nt
Filed under: uncultured bacterium
Lineage: Bacteria
Description: partial 16S ribosomal RNA
Rfam family: Bacterial small subunit ribosomal RNA
Source: RNAcentral